UGGGGAAUUUUGGACAAUGGGCGCAAGCCUGAUCCAGCCAUGCCGCGUGCGGGAAGAAGGCCUUCGGGUUGUAAACCGCUUUUGUCAGGGAAGAAAUCUUCUGAGUUAAUACCUCGGGAGGAUGACGGUACCUGAAGAAUAAGCACCGGCUAACUACGUGCCAGCAGCCGCGGUAAUACGUAGGGUGCAAGCGUUAAUCGGAAUUACUGGGCGUAAAGCGUGCGCAGGCGGUUUUGUAAGACAGAGGUGAAAUCCCCGGGCUCAACCUGGGAACUGCCUUUGUGACUGCAAGGCUUGAGUGCGGCAGAGGGGGAUGGAAUUCCGCGUGUAGCAGUGAAAUGCGUAGAUAUGCGGAGGAACACCGAUGGCGAAGGCAAUCCCCUGGGCCUGCACUGACGCUCAUGCACGAAAGCGUGGGGAGCAAACAGGAUUAGAUAGCCCUGGUAGUCCACGCCCUAAACGAUGUCAACUGGUUGUUGGGAAGGUUCCUUCUCAGUAACGUAGCUAACGCGUGAAGUUGACCGCCUGGGGAGUACGGCCGCAAGGUUGAAACUU
RNAcentral lists this ribosomal RNA (555 nucleotides) under uncultured bacterium. Its description in RNAcentral is "partial 16S ribosomal RNA". It matches the Rfam family "Bacterial small subunit ribosomal RNA", at positions 355 to 902 of the family's 1533-position model. The record is from RNAcentral.